ACAUGGGUUAGCAUGCGAAGAAUCGAGUAACCUCCUUUAAUGUCAAGACCUUUUUGAUUGGGCUGGCUGGGCAGGUGUUCCCUCCUCCCUCACUGCUCUUACAUCUGUCCUGAAGCUGCACUCUCGGUGAAGAGGACGACCACCCUGAUAGAGGAGGACCGUUUCCUCCAUCAAGGGUACACGAGCAGCUGUGUGCCCCUGCUGGAACCUCCAAGCGAGAUCUCAAGGCCCUUUUUAUCAUGUAACAAGUACAUAAAAACAUAUCUUUCAUGCUGGCACGUGGCCCCGCUUUCUAA
This is an unclassified non-coding RNA of Fukomys damarensis (Damara mole-rat), 296 nucleotides long. Its record names the gene 7SK. It matches the Rfam family "7SK RNA". From Rfam's summary of the family: 7SK was discovered as an abundant small nuclear RNA in the mid-70s but a possible function has only recently been suggested. Two independent studies have found that 7SK RNA binds the CDK9/cyclin T complex (known as elongation factor P-TEFb). The record is from Ensembl. Lineage: Eukaryota; Metazoa; Chordata; Mammalia; Rodentia; Bathyergidae.